Labrus mixtus (cuckoo wrasse) is the source of this 1540-nucleotide long non-coding RNA. RefSeq lists it as uncharacterized. The record is from RefSeq and is a predicted model, not a curated record. The transcript has 3 exons. Lineage: Eukaryota; Metazoa; Chordata; Actinopteri; Labriformes; Labridae.
UAACUGAACAGUAUUCAUCAUGUUAAAAUAAGUGGUGAAAAAUAUUCACUCUACUAUGAAACUUUGACCAUAAUAAUCAACCCCUGUUUUAAUUUCAGUCAACGAAUGCGGAGUCUCCCCAGUUAUUCCAAAUGGUGUUGUUGUGCAAACGGAGCGUUUCUAUUUGAAAUACCAAUGUAAUUCUGAUUACACACGAGUGGGACCAGAGAUUGUGGUGUGUACCAACGAUGGCAGAUGGUCAGAACUUCCCUUCUGCCAAGAGGCUUUCUGUGUCGUGGAUCUUGCUCAGUAUUCUGGGAUUCGGAUUAGGCAAACUGGAAAAGAAUAUAUUAAGGAAGGAGAGACGAAGAAGGUGCACUGUUCCUCUUAUGAAUACGUAAUUUUUACUUGCACUCAGGGAAGACUAACCUACACCCCAUGUAAGUACAUACCAUCAUUUUACAGUCUCUCCCAAUGUUUUAGUUUCAGCUUUUUGUCAUCAGCUGUAUACGAACUGUUGUCUCAAGGAUCCAAGUUGAUUUAGAGCCAUUUAACUGUUAUAGCUUCAAAAAUAUUAAAUAAAAAAAACAAUCCAAACUCCAAAAAGAGAAUGAAAUUUGAAUAUGUAUUUAUUGAUUAUUAAAUGAUUGAUGUAUUUAGUGGAUAAACUUGCAAUUUUUUAAUUUAGUUUCAUUGAAUGAAAAGCAAAACAAAUUAACCAAAUACUCUACUGAUAAUGACUGCACUAAAUUGAAUGUGUUAUAGAACUCCAUUGCUGUCCAACUAUUAAAGAAACAUAAAUUAGCCACACUACGUGACAUGUUUCUUAAUUAGGAUAAGCAUGGUCCCUUUAUCUUGAGUCAGUCCCAUAUAACUUUGUAUAUUUCCUUGUAAUAAAAAUACAUGCUAACACAUUCAGUAAAGAUAUUGUAUUUUCAUACUUAAGCCAGAAAUGAUCCUGCAUUUCCCAUCAGACCCUCACCUUCAUCCCUGAUAUCUAAAUAGAGGCUGAAGUCUGUUCCCCUUUGAAUUCUGGAUGAAAAUGAAAUCUCAAGCCAUUUAUUUUUAUUCUCACAUUUUCCUGUUACUCAAAUGAAACUCAGAUUUGUUAUUAUGCGAGGUAAUUAUUCAUGCCAAGCAGAUAUUUAAAGAACCAAACUUCAGUGACAUAAUUUCUGUAAAUGAAACUAUGUAUUGAAACAUUCUUUCAUUUGCCACUGUUUUUUUUAGGUUGCCAGGAGUAUUAUCAUUUCUAUGGACGCUGCUAAGAAAAAACAACAGAGGAGCGACUGUAGGACUGUGGGGAUUGUGGACAAAAGCCAAGUUGGAGGCUACGGAAAUAUCUCCAUCAGAAAAAACUAAGCUCUAAAAUAUGUUGACAGAUUUGUGUUUUUUUAUUUGUUUUAAACCAGCUAUUUCCCCCCCUAAAAAACAAUUACAAAUACAAACAAACAUUGGUCAAGCUGAUUUUUUUAACAGUCUGCUUUUUCGUGAUGAUAGUAACUCUGAAUGUGCUACUGACAUGAACAUUACAAAAUAAAGUUUAUAUGGCCUACUAUAA